Molecule: non-coding RNA, 408 nt
Organism: Macaca mulatta (Rhesus monkey)
Lineage: Eukaryota; Metazoa; Chordata; Mammalia; Primates; Cercopithecidae
Source: RefSeq, a predicted model, not a curated record
GUUAAUGUUAAAGAAGAACAGCAGUAAUAACUUAUCUCUUCCUGUUUCAGACUUAACGUAACCAAUACUUCCCUCUCAAGGAAAACUCAUAUGGGCCUCACUGAUCAAACAAAGUGAGUUUGCAAAAGAAAGAUUCGACGUAGUCAACUCUCUGUACUCUUCAGUGAUGGAAGCUGCUUAGUGGAAAUGUGGGAAAUUACAGAUUAGGGACACAUUUGGAUACUUACCUAGAGCUGGGUCAUCUUUAUUAAUGUGAGCUGAAUAUCUACACAGCAGCCGCAGAAAAUGAAAGGGCAACAUGUGGUGGAUUGACAUUACACAUGGCCCUGAUGCUUCAUCCUUCAUGAUAUUCAUGCCCUUUGCCACAAGAUUUCGCUGCUCUUCCCAUCAAGAAGUAAGUAUCUUUCC